This 771-nucleotide unclassified non-coding RNA is filed under the name Hevea brasiliensis (rubber tree). Lineage: Eukaryota; Viridiplantae; Streptophyta; Magnoliopsida; Malpighiales; Euphorbiaceae. The record is from RNAcentral.
UCCUGCUCAUUCAAUCGCUAAACAGGUACCCUUUUUCCCUCUGUACCUCCUUCAUUUGUCUACAGUCGAUGGGUGAACCUUAAUUAAGGGUUUAGGUAGGAAGCUUAAUUCCUCCUUUCUGUUUGGAUGCUGAGAAAACAGAGGAAAAAGCGCUCGGUAGAUCCGCCCAUCCACAUCGGAGAAGCUUUCCUGCUCAUUCAAUCGCUAAACAGUGAUCAAUUUAAAGCGCAUGGAAAAUGAUGCAGAGCAAGCAAUGGGGAUAUCCUCAACUGUGCCCGGUAGCUCAGAUGGGUCUAACCCAAAAAGCUCAAGCCUUGUAUCCCGAGUGAAGAAGCUUCUGUUUCGCAAAAUGCUUGUGGGAAUUAAAGAUGGUCGCUUUUUCUUGGGUACCUUCCAUUGCAUUGACAAGCAAGGGAAUAUCAUUCUCCAAGAUGCAGUAGAAUAUCGAAGCACUCGACGUUCUUCUCCUUCUCCAAUGGAACAGCGGUGCCUUGGCCUAAUUCUUAUCCCUUCUUCUUGCAGAACCUCUUGUCAUGUGGAUUGCUCCAUUGAAGAACAAUUGUCACUGUUAAAGUUUCAGGAGUAGGUAGCCGUUUUGGGUUUCCAUAGUAUUCUGCUUCAAUUGGUGCAUCUCCUAGUUAGCUAUUUAUCAAUUAAGCAGAAUUUGCAUGCCUUCUAGAAUUUAGAAAUCGAUUUUUUUUUUUUAAUCUUUGCUUUGGCACUUUUCUUGUUUACCAUCCUUGUGUAUGCUUGAAUGAAUUGAUGAUGGAA